CAAAUUAAUCUUAUAGUUAAGUAAUUUUAUUUACAAUAAAAUAUAAUCGUGCAAUUCGAUUUAAUUUGA
This 69-nucleotide transfer RNA is filed under the name Corynis lateralis. RNAcentral's name for it is "tRNA-Val". The record is from RNAcentral. Lineage: Eukaryota; Metazoa; Arthropoda; Insecta; Hymenoptera; Cimbicidae.